Molecule: ribosomal RNA, 253 nt
Filed under: uncultured bacterium
Lineage: Bacteria
Description: partial 16S ribosomal RNA
Rfam family: Bacterial small subunit ribosomal RNA
Source: RNAcentral
UACGUAGGGGGCUAGCGUUGUCCGGAAUCAUUGGGCGUAAAGCGCGUGUAGGCGGUCCGGUAAGUCCGCUGUGAAAGUCGGGGGCUCAACCCUCGGAUGCCGGUGGAUACUGUCGGGCUUGAGUACGGAAGAGGCGAGUGGAAUUCCUGGUGUAGCGGUGAAAUGCGCAGAUAUCAGGAGGAACACCAAUUGCGAAGGCAGCUCGCUGGGACGUUACUGACGCUGAGACGCGAAAGCGUGGGUAGCAAACAGG